UACGUAGGGCGCAAGCGUUGUCCGGAAUUAUUGGGCGUAAAGAGCUCGUAGGCGGUUUGUCGCGUCUGCUGUGAAAACCUAAGGCUCAACCUUGGGCUUGCAGUGGGUACGGGCAGACUAGAGUGCGGUAGGGGUGACUGGAAUUCCUGGUGUAGCGGUGGAAUGCGUAGAGAUCAGCAGGAACCACCCGUGGCGAAGGCGGCCCCCUGGGCCGAACCUGACGCGUGAGGCGGCGAAGGCUAGGGGAGCAAACAGG
This 256-nucleotide ribosomal RNA is filed under the name uncultured bacterium. RNAcentral describes it as "partial 16S ribosomal RNA". It matches the Rfam family "Bacterial small subunit ribosomal RNA", at positions 524 to 776 of the family's 1533-position model. The record is from RNAcentral.